AAUCAACGCUGGCGGCGUGCCUCAGACAUGCAAGUCGAACGAUUAAGACUCUCUUCGGAGAGUGUAUAAAGUGGCGCACGGGUGAGUAACACGUAGGUAAUCUACCUUUGAGUGGGGAAUAACUUAGGGAAACUUAAGCUAAUACCGCAUAAUGCAGCGGCAUCUUCGGAUGACAGUUGUUAAAGGAGUAAUUCGCUUAAAGAGGAGCCUGCGGCAGAUUAGCUAGUUGGUAAGGUAAUGGCUUACCAAGGCUACGAUCUGUAACCGACCUGAGAGGGUGGUCGGUCACACUGACACUGAAUAACGGGUCAGACUCCUACGGGAGGCAGCAGUCGGGAAUUUUGGGCAAUGGGCGAAAGCCUGACCCAGCAACGCCGCGUGAAGGAUGAAGUCUUUCGGGAUGUAAACUUCGUAAGAAUAGGAAGAAUAAAUAGACGGUACUAUUUGUAAGGUCCGGGCUAACUACGUGCCAGCAGCCGCGGAAGAGUAGUACA
Molecule: ribosomal RNA, 494 nt
Filed under: uncultured bacterium
Lineage: Bacteria
Description: bacterial SSU rRNA
Rfam family: Bacterial small subunit ribosomal RNA
Source: RNAcentral